Molecule: ribosomal RNA, 494 nt
Filed under: uncultured bacterium
Lineage: Bacteria
Description: partial 16S ribosomal RNA
Rfam family: Bacterial small subunit ribosomal RNA
Source: RNAcentral
ACUCAAAGGAAUUGACGGGGGCCCGCACAAGCAGCGGAGCAUGUGGUUUAAUUCGAAGCAACGCGAAGAACCUUACCUAGACUUGACAUCUCCUGAAUUACUCUUAAUCGAGGAAGCCCUUCGGGGCAGGAAGACAGGUGGUGCAUGGUUGUCGUCAGCUCGUGUCGUGAGAUGUUGGGUUAAGUCCCGCAACGAGCGCAACCCCUAUUGUUAGUUGCUACCAUUUAGUUGAGCACUCUAGCGAGACUGCCCGGGUUAACCGGGAGGAAGGUGGGGAUGACGUCAAAUCAUCAUGCCCCUUAUGUCUAGGGCUACACACGUGCUACAAUGGCUGGUACAGAGAGAUGCAAUACCGUGAGGUGGAGCCAAACUUUAAAACCAGUCUCAGUUCGGAUUGUAGGCUGAAACUCGCCUACAUGAAGCUGGAGUUGCUAGUAAUCGCGAAUCAGAAUGUCGCGGUGAAUACGUUCCCGGGCCUUGUACACACCGCCCGU